Molecule: ribosomal RNA, 253 nt
Filed under: uncultured bacterium
Lineage: Bacteria
Description: partial 16S ribosomal RNA
Rfam family: Bacterial small subunit ribosomal RNA
Source: RNAcentral
UACGGAGGGUGCAAGCGUUAUCCGGAUUCACUGGGUUUAAAGGGUGCGCAGGCGGUUUUGUAAGCCAGAUGUGAAAUCCCCGGGCUCAACCUGGGAAUGGCAUUUGGGACUGCAAGGCUUGAGUGCGGCAGAGGAGACUGGAAUUCCUGGUGUAGCAGUGAAAUGCGUAGAUAUCAGGAGGAAUACCGAUGGCGAAGGCAGGUCUCUGGGCUGACACUGACGCUCAUGCACGAAAGCGUGGGGAGCAAACAGG